CGCGCGUCCCGCGGAGUUUAGGCUGCGGGAAGAGCCCCGCUUAGGCCACGCUGCUCCCAAAGUCUCCUCGGAUCAGAGGGGCCUGCUCCGCACCAAGCCAGUCUGAAGCGCAACCUUGCCUCUCCUCCGGGUCAGGGCACGGUUCAGGGCACACGGGUGCUAGGAGGCAUGUGUUUGGAUGGAGCCAGGAGAUGCUGUGAGAAUUCCCUCCUCCUAGCAGCCCUUCUCCUCGUGGGAAGUCUUUCCAGUAGGAAUGGAGGGUUCUCAGGGGGUGACCCUAUUGACCUCCAGGGAUCCACCUCCACUGACAGUGGGAGGAGGAAGUGAGAGAAAGAUCAAGCCUGCUUCCUUUUCCCACAGAGGACAAGAGACUGAGGCCACCUGGCAGCCUUCAGGAUUUUUCCUCCGUGACCCCAACUCCUAGAAGACCAUGCAGAGGACACCACCACCGUAGCCCUGUGGGCAGGCUCCGUGUUCUUAGUGAGAGCCACUGGGACAGUGGAAUUCAUUGGAAAAUGAGGGGGAAGGAUUUUUAUGAGUUGCUGAGAAUGCAGUGGGGAAAGCUUUCCUUCUCUCCUCUCCCAUGGUCAGGAAACUUGAAGGAGGAUUUAGGGAGGAAGAGGACGUGAACAGUAGGGAUGGCAGAUGGAGUGUCAGGGAAGGGGGCUCCAAAAAGGGAUGAGACUGGGUGAGAGAUGUAGAGGUUC
Long non-coding RNA from Bos taurus (domestic cattle), 707 nucleotides. The record is from Ensembl. NCBI's taxonomy places the organism in Eukaryota, Metazoa, Chordata, Mammalia, Artiodactyla, Bovidae.